GACAGGGGGUGCAAACGUUGCUCGGAAUCACUGGGCGUAAAGCGCACGUAGGUGGUCGUGUAAGUCGGGUGUGAAAGCCCUCGGCUCAACCGAGGAACUGCGCCCGAUACUGCAUGGCUCGAGGACGGGAGGGGAGAGUGGAAUUCCUGGUGGAGCGGUGAAAUGCGUAGAUAUCAGGAGGAACACCGGUGGCGAAAGCGACUCUCUGGUCCGUUCCUGACACUGAGGUGCGAAAGCUAGGGGAGCAAACGGG
RNAcentral lists this ribosomal RNA (253 nucleotides) under uncultured bacterium. Its description in RNAcentral is "partial 16S ribosomal RNA". It matches the Rfam family "Bacterial small subunit ribosomal RNA", at positions 524 to 776 of the family's 1533-position model. The record is from RNAcentral.